CAGGGAGACAACAAAAUGUUUAAUAUUAUUAUUUUGUCACCUUAGGUCGAUCGGUAUCUCACGUUCUUAAUUUACUAAGAAUUUCAUUUCCUAAGUUUUUCUAGGACACACCCAUUAUUUUCCUGGGCCAUUAGCUCAGGUGGUUAGAGCGCACCCCUGAUAAGGGUGAGGUCCCUGGUUCAAGUCCAGGAUGGCCCAUAUCUCUAUGUUGGGGGUAUAGCUCAGUUGGUAGAGCGCCUGCUUUGCAAGCAGGAUGUCAGCGGUUCGAGUCCGCUUACCUCCACUGAUUACCACCUCUUCCAUAAUUUAAAGAAAGGAAAUGUUUUGAGCUGUGAUCAAAUUCUGAACGAAUCUAGCUUCCUAGUGAAAUCAUUAAGAUGCUGGACUCAUUGAAUUAAUUUCAUUGUUUUCAGAGAACCUUGACAACUGCAUAGAUUAUUUUUAAAGACAAAAAGCAUCUUUAAUGAUGCAGAUUUAUUAUUUGUGCGAAUGCAUUAAUAACAAUUCUAUUAAGCUGAUGCUUCAAUUAUGAAGUUAUU
Molecule: transfer RNA, 539 nt
Filed under: uncultured cyanobacterium
Lineage: Bacteria; Bacillati; Cyanobacteriota
Description: partial miscellaneous RNA
Rfam family: tRNA (bases 211-283)
Source: RNAcentral